This 503-nucleotide ribosomal RNA is filed under the name uncultured bacterium. Its description in RNAcentral is "partial 16S ribosomal RNA". It matches the Rfam family "Bacterial small subunit ribosomal RNA", at positions 28 to 523 of the family's 1533-position model. The record is from RNAcentral.
GAUGAACGCUGGCGGCGUGCUUAACACAUGCAAGUCGAACGGUGAAGCCAAGCUUGCUUGGUGGAUCAGUGGCGAACGGGUGAGUAACACGUGAGCAAUCUGCCCUUGCCUCUGGGAUAAGCGCUGGAAACGGCGUCUCAUACUGGAUCUGAGCUGUGGCCGGAUGGUCGGCAGUUGGAAAGAAUUUCGGGCAAGGAUGAGCUCGCGGCCUAUCAGGUCGUUGGUGAGGUAAUGGCUCACCAAGGCGACGAUCAGUAGCCGGCCUGAGAGGGCGGACGGCCACACUGGGACUGAGACACGGCCCAGACUCCUACGGGAGGCAGCAGUGGGGAAUUGUUCGCAAUGGGCGCAAGCCUGACGACGCAACGCCGCGUGGAGGAUGAAGGUCUUCGGAUUGUAAACUCCUUUUGGCCGGGACGAAUGGGCGACGACCUAACACGUCGGAGCAGUGACGGUACCGGUUGAGGAAGCCACGGCUAACUCUGUGCCAGCAGCCGCCGUAA